CGAGGAGUUUGUUGAAGUGGGGAGGUUAGGACCCUCUGACUACUUUGGUGAGAUUGCUCUGCUGAUGAACCGUCCCCGCGCUGCCACUGUGGUCGCCCGCGGCCCCCUGAAGUGCGUCAAGCUCGACCGGCCUCGCUUCGAGCGCGUCCUGGGUCCCUGUUCAGACAUUCUCAAACGUAACAUCCAACAGUACAACAGCUUCGUCUCGCUGUCUGUCUGAAGGGGGCGUCCCUCCCCACCCUCCCUCUCCCUCCACCCUUUCCCUCUUUUCUCCUUUUAGACCCAGGGUCCACCAAUGCAAUUUGCUUUUUUUUGUCACUUUCUUCUUCUUUCUGUUUGGCUUUUCUCCCUAUUUUGUUGUUUUGUUUUGUUUUACACACAGAGCUCAUUUUGUUGUUACCACCUGUCACGCUGAGGUGACUUUCAGCCAUUCACCAGCGCUUGUACCAGCUGCUGUACGCUACCUUGUAGGCACAGUUACAUCACAUGUUACCUAUGUUAUAUACGUAUUUGCUGGUUACGCUCUCUUUUUUGACUUAAACACAAAGCAGGAUUGUUUGGAGAUCUGAAAGACAUUAGGGUCUCACACUGGUGAGACAGGACAAUCAAACUUUACAUGGCGCUUUUGGUGAAUUUGUUACAGAUUUAUGUUGUAGAUUGAAGAGAGGACUUCUAUUUCCCCUGUUAAAGAAUUUCCUUUUGGACAUCAUUUAGCUUGAUUAGAUAUACAGCAUAGAGCAGAACCUAGAAACUGUAGAAGGCAGGACAAAUAUGAUCGCAUCAACUUUUAUCUGACGUUUGCUUUAGGUUUCAGCUCCACGAUGGUUGCUUCCCUUUCGAUUGGCACGAUGGAAUAAGUCUGUUUUGCUUAGUUAGAGAGAGCUUGUACAACUUAAGGUUUUAAUUUUAUUGUGCAGCUACCAGGCUAGUGCCAAAUGUUGAUUAUUGUCACAACGCAAAGAUGCGUAGCCGUGGAAAUGCAGCGCGUGCUCUGUUCCCUGACUAUUCGGAGGUCCAAACAGGAAGUAGUAAUUCCCCUUAUUGUCCUCUUGAAUCGGUAGAACGACCAUACAAGAACUGCCUUGACUACUCUGAGGAAAAAAAUUAAUUUAAAAAGAAAGGUAAAAAAAAAAGAGUAUUAAGUGUAUUUCAGUAUUCAAUUUUUUUAGUAUAUACCAAAUAACUUGGUCACUCUUCUGCUAUAGUUUGUAAUCAAAAUGUUAUCAUGGUAUAGUUAAAACGAUCAUAGUUAUAUUAUUAUCAUUGACUAAAUGAUAAACUUAUGGUUUGGAGUGAUGGUGAUCUUAAAAAAAAAAAAAAAAAACUAUGUUUAACUGUCUUUUGUAAACACUUAUUUUUCCAUAAAUUCUAUUUUAGGUGUCCAGUGCCACAAAGUAAAUAAAUGCUUCUUCUUGUCAACCGACAAAAACAGUAUGUAAUCGUAUUGUGUAAAACGUCAUGGGUUAAAAACUUUUUAAAAAUAGAUCAAAUGGGUAAUUCCAGGUUUAUUGAAGUGAAGUCUUGAAAAAACAAAAAACAAGAUGGUUUAUGGUUUUCAGGACAUCUGAAGUAUUUAUGUAUUGAAGCAUCACAGGUGAGCUGACGGGCAGAGUCAGCAGAUAUUUAUUUAAAACUAGUGUCAUUGAUUAUUGCCUAUUUGAAAAGGUGGCUGUCUUUUCAUCAGAGUAGCUUGUGAUCUGUUCUCUAUGCUUACUUGGCAUGAUGUUUUAGGCAUCCAGUGAUCCGGUAUGAAUGGAAGCGUGUAUUAAAAAAAAAAAAAAAAAAAGCCUGCAGCUGCGUGCAGAAGCAGGAACUUUGUCAAAUAUUUGGUUUGUUACUCCCUAGCUUAACUGCUUCAUGACUAUUUAGAUGGCAUAAAAUGUUUAAGUCUGUUUUUGUUUUUUUUAAAAGAUCUUUACCAAAUCACACAAUGUUGACUUCUGGAUUAUAGGCUUAACUCUUCAUUCCUGCCUCACUUGUCUGUUACCAGAAAUGACAUAGAACCAGUCAUGUGUUUCUGUUUUGUCUCAUUUAGAGCACUCGAAUGCGCUUAAGAAUUGAGAUGUAUGUUUGUACGUCCAAAAAAGAUUUGAUUUUGGUGCCGAUUGCAGGGUAGUCAGGUUAGUGAGAAGAGUUUUUUUUGUUAAUGGACUUGAGUAAUAUGUAAUUUCUUUACAGUUAAAUCAAUCAUCUCCAUCUGAUCCUUAUCCUGAUCCACAGGAAAUGACUCCGUUAGGGGCGUGGGUUUGACUCACCUUUUAUCGAAAUAUUGUUUUCGUGUAAAUAGCAGCAUCAUUGGUUUUAGUCCAAAAUGUUUUUAGCCACACUGCAAUCGUCCCGGUUUGCCUUAGCUUACCUAACCUGGGCUUACAGUAGUAGUCAGUCACUCCUGCUAGCCCGACCUUCAGUGAGUUUGUUAGGCCUGCAGCGCAGAGAGCUGCAGGCGACCAGAGGACCAUUCUUUUUCUAUUCUACCCUGUAUUCAGUUUGACCUCCUGUAUGUGCAAAGAUGUUUAUCCUUUUGGUAUAGAUUGUUCCAGAUGGCAGUUUAAGCAAUAAAAAAGUAAAAAUAA
Long non-coding RNA from Cottoperca gobio, 2573 nucleotides. RefSeq lists it as uncharacterized. Lineage: Eukaryota; Metazoa; Chordata; Actinopteri; Perciformes; Bovichtidae. The transcript is spliced from 2 exons. The record is from RefSeq and is a predicted model, not a curated record.